Molecule: ribosomal RNA, 435 nt
Filed under: uncultured bacterium
Lineage: Bacteria
Description: bacterial SSU rRNA
Rfam family: Bacterial small subunit ribosomal RNA
Source: RNAcentral
AACGCGAAGAACCUUACCAAGGCUUGACAUGGACCGGAAAUACCUGGAAACAGGUGCCCCGCUUGCGGUCGGUUCACAGGUGGUGCAUGGUUGUCGUCAGCUCGUGUCGUGAGAUGUUGGGUUAAGUCCCGCAACGAGCGCAACCCUCGUUCUAUGUUGUCAGCACGUGAUGGUGGGGACUCAUAGGAGACUGCCGGGGUCAACUCGGAGGAAGGUGGGGACGACGUCAAAUCAUCAUGCCCCUUAUGUCUUGGGCUUCACGCAUGCUACAAUGGCCGGUACAAAGGGUUGCGAUACUGUGAGGUGGAGCUAAUCCCAAAAAGCCGGUCUCAGUUCGGAUUGGGGUCUGCAACUCGACCCCAUGAAGUCGGAGUCGCUAGUAAUCGCAGAUCAGCAACGCUGCGGUGAAUACGUUCCCGGGCCUUGUACACACCG